AUUGAACGCUGGCGGCAGGCUUAACACAUGCAAGUCGAGCGGUAGCACAGGGGAGCUUGCUCCCUGGGUGACGAGCGGCGGACGGGUGAGUAAUGUCUGGGAAACUGCCUGAUGGAGGGGGAUAACUACUGGAAACGGUAGCUAAUACCGCAUAACGUCGCAAGACCAAAGAGGGGGACCUUCGGGCCUCCUGCCAUCAGAUGUGCCCAGAUGGGAUUAGCUAGUAGGUGGGGUAAUGGCUCACCUAGGCGACGAUCCCUAGCUGGUCUGAGAGGAUGACCAGCCACACUGGAACUGAGACACGGUCCAGACUCCUACGGGAGGCAGCAGUGGGGAAUAUUGCACAAUGGGCGCAAGCCUGAUGCAGCCAUGCCGCGUGUGUGAAGAAGGCCUUCGGGUUGUAAAGCACUUUCAGCGAGGAGGAAGGUGGUGAGCUUAAUACGUUCAUCAAUUGACGUUACUCGCAGAAGAAGCACCGGCUAACUCCGU
This 489-nucleotide ribosomal RNA is filed under the name uncultured bacterium. RNAcentral describes it as "partial 16S ribosomal RNA". It matches the Rfam family "Bacterial small subunit ribosomal RNA", at positions 30 to 506 of the family's 1533-position model. The record is from RNAcentral.